GACGAACGCUGGCGGCGUGCCUAAUACAUGCAAGUCGAGCGGACUUUCAAGAAGCUUGCUUUUUGAAAGUUAGCGGCGGACGGGUGAGUAACACGUGGGCAACCUGCCUGCAAGACGGGGAUAACCCCGGGAAACCGGGGCCAAUACCGGAUAAUAUCUUCCUUCGCAUGAAGGAAGGUUGAAAUGCGGCGCAAGCUGCCGCUUGCAGAUGGGCCCGCGGCGCCUUAGCUAGUUGGUGAGGUAACGGCUCACCGAGGUGACGAUGCGUAGCCGACCGGAGGGGAUGAACGGCCGAACUGGGAGUGGGACACGGCCCAGACUCCUACGGAGGACAGCAGUAGGGAAUCUUCCGCAAUAGGCGAAAAUCUGACGAGGCAAAGCCGCGUGAGCGAGGAAGGUCUUCGGAUCGUAAAGCUCUGUUGUCAGGGAAGAACAAGUACCGUUCGAACAGGGCGGUACCUUGACGGUACCUGACCAGAAAGCAACGGCUAACUACGUG
Molecule: ribosomal RNA, 499 nt
Filed under: uncultured bacterium
Lineage: Bacteria
Description: partial 16S ribosomal RNA
Rfam family: Bacterial small subunit ribosomal RNA
Source: RNAcentral